UCUAAGUAUAAACGACUCGAUCGUGAAACCGCGAAUGGCUCAUUAUAACAGCUAUAAUUUACUUGAUCUUGACUCAAUCCUACUUGGAUAACUGUGGUAAUUCUAGAGCUAAUACAUGCAUUAAAGCUCUGACCUCGCGGGAAGAGUGCAUUUAUUAGGACAAAACCAAGCGGCUUCGGCCGUCUCAACUGGUUGACUCAUAGUAACUGAGCUGAUCGCACGGUCUUGCACCGGCGACGUGUCUUUCAAGUAUCUGCCGUAUCAACUUUCGAUGGUAGUGUAUCUGACUACCAUGGUGAUCACGCGUAACGGAGAAUAAGGGUUCGGCUCCGGAGAGUUCGCCUGAGAAAUCGCGAACACAUCUAAGGAAGGCAGCAGGCGCGAAAAUUACCCACUCUCAGCACGAGGAGGUAGUGACGAAAAAUAACGAGACCAUUCUCUCAUGAGGCUGGUCAUCGGAAUGGGUACAAUUUAAACCCUUUAACGAGUAUCUAUGAGAGGGCAAGUCUGGUGCCAG
Molecule: ribosomal RNA, 517 nt
Filed under: Nematoda environmental sample
Lineage: Eukaryota; Metazoa; Nematoda
Description: SSU rRNA
Rfam family: Eukaryotic small subunit ribosomal RNA
Source: RNAcentral